RNAcentral lists this ribosomal RNA (471 nucleotides) under Salmonella enterica. RNAcentral's name for it is "bacterial SSU rRNA". It matches the Rfam family "Bacterial small subunit ribosomal RNA", at positions 1 to 468 of the family's 1533-position model. The record is from RNAcentral. RNAcentral also lists the same sequence under 1 other name. Lineage: Bacteria; Pseudomonadati; Pseudomonadota; Gammaproteobacteria; Enterobacterales; Enterobacteriaceae.
AAAUUGAAGAGUUUGAUCAUGGCUCAGAUUGAACGCUGGCGGCAGGCCUAACACAUGCAAGUCGAACGGUAACAGGAAGCAGCUUGCUGCUUUGCUGACGAGUGGCGGACGGGUGAGUAAUGUCUGGGAAACUGCCUGAUGGAGGGGGAUAACUACUGGAAACGGUGGCUAAUACCGCAUAACGUCGCAAGACCAAAGAGGGGGAUCUUCGGGCCUCUUGCCAUCAGAUGUGCCCAGAUGGGAUUAGCUUGUUGGUGAGGUAACGGCUCACCAAGGCGACGAUCCCUAGCUGGUCUGAGAGGAUGACCAGCCACACUGGAACUGAGACACGGUCCAGACUCCUACGGGAGGCAGCAGUGGGGAAUAUUGCACAAUGGGCGCAAGCCUGAUGCAGCCAUGCCGCGUGUAUGAAGAAGGCCUUCGGGUUGUAAAGUACUUUCAGCGGGGAGGAAGGUGUUGUGGUUAAUAACC